UAGAAGCUUUGAGUUAAUAAAUCUCUUCUG
RNAcentral lists this non-coding RNA (30 nucleotides) under Mus musculus (house mouse). RNAcentral also lists the same sequence under 1 other name. Lineage: Eukaryota; Metazoa; Chordata; Mammalia; Rodentia; Muridae. The record is from RNAcentral.